Asparagus officinalis (garden asparagus) is the source of this 338-nucleotide long non-coding RNA. RefSeq lists it as uncharacterized. The record is from RefSeq and is a predicted model, not a curated record. The transcript has 3 exons. Lineage: Eukaryota; Viridiplantae; Streptophyta; Magnoliopsida; Asparagales; Asparagaceae.
CUUGAAGAGAGGGAAAAGACAAAGGGGGCAAGGGUGAAGGAGCUCAAGCCCUAGCGAGCGAAACCCUAGCUUUGAUUAGAGGAGGAUCGUGCUCGAGUUCUUGUGUAGGUAAGAAGAACGGCUCCCUCCCUCUCCAUUUCAAAUCUCGAAGAGAGAGGGGAAGAGAACAGAGGCCAAGCUGCGAGAGAGCCCACACCCUAUCAAACGAAACCUAAUGUUGAUAUUAUAUUAUGAGGAUAGGCAAAUCUAACAGGUUUGGCACUGUUUAUGGGAAAUCAGAGAGUUUUAAGAAUGAGAUUUAGUGUUUGGAGAUGAUGAAGGCUGGAGGAAUGAAGCCA